ACGCAUAUAUGCUGGAAUGCUUUAUGCGUAAAAUGGAUUCGUCUGCCCAAGGAUGGGUCUGCGGCCUAUCAGGUAGUAGUGGGUGUAAUGUACCUACUAGCCUACAACGGGUACGGGUUGUGAGAGCAAGAGCCCGGAGAUGGAUUCUGAGACAUGAAUCCAGGCCCUACGGGGCGCAGCAGGCGCGGAAACUUUACAAUGCGGGAAACCGUGAUAAGGGGACACCGAGUGCCAGCAUCAUAUGCUGGCUGUCCAGAUGUGUAAAAUACAUCUGUUAGCAAGGGCCGGGCAAGACCGGUGCCAGCCGCCGCGGUAACACCGGCGGCCCGAGUGGUGAUCGUGAUUAUUGGGUCUAAAGGGUCCGUAGCCGGUUUGGUCAGUCCUCCGGGAAAUCUGAUGGCUCAACCAUUAGGCUUUCGGGGGAUACUGCCAGGCUUGGAACCGGGAGAGGUAAGAGGUACUACAGGGGUAGGAGUGAAAUCUUGUAAUCCCUGUGAGACCACCUGUGGCGAAGGCGUCUUACCAGAACGGGUUCGACGGUGAGGGACGAAAGCUGGGGGCACGAACCGGAUUAGAUACCCGGGUAGUCCCAGCCGUAAACGAUGCUCGCUAGGUGUCAGGCAUGGCGCGACCGUGUCUGGUGCCGCAGGGAAGCCGUGAAGCGAGCCACCUGGGAAGUACGGC
This 684-nucleotide ribosomal RNA is filed under the name uncultured archaeon. Its description in RNAcentral is "bacterial SSU rRNA". It matches the Rfam family "Archaeal small subunit ribosomal RNA", at positions 156 to 841 of the family's 1478-position model. The record is from RNAcentral.